This 500-nucleotide ribosomal RNA is filed under the name uncultured bacterium. Its description in RNAcentral is "partial 16S ribosomal RNA". It matches the Rfam family "Bacterial small subunit ribosomal RNA", at positions 30 to 523 of the family's 1533-position model. The record is from RNAcentral.
AUUGAACGCUGGCGGAAUGCUUUACACAUGCAAGUCGAACGGCAGCACGGACUUCGGUCUGGUGGCGAGUGGCGAACGGGUGAGUAAUGUAUCGGAACGUGCCCAGUCGUGGGGGAUAACGUAGUGAAAAUUACGCUAAUACCGCAUACGAUCUAUGGAUGAAAGCGGGGGAUCGCAAGACCUCGCGCGAUUGGAGCGGCCGAUAUCAGAUUAGGUAGUUGGUGGGGUAAAGGCCCACCAAGCCAACGAUCUGUAGCUGGUCUGAGAGGACGACAAGCACAACUGGAACUGAGACACGGUCCAGACUCCUACGGGAGGCAGCAGUGGGGAAUUUUGGACAAUGGGCGAAAGCCUGAUCCAGCCAUUCCGCGUGAAGGAUGAAGGCCCUCGGGUUGUAAACUGCUUUUGUACAGAACGAAAAGGUUUCUACUAAUACUAGGAGCUCAUGACGGUACUGUAAGAAUAAGCACCGGCUAACUACGUGCCAGCAGCCGCCGUAA